RNAcentral lists this long non-coding RNA (263 nucleotides) under Sorghum bicolor (sorghum). RNAcentral's name for it is "long non-coding RNA (SBIC_LNC001670)". Lineage: Eukaryota; Viridiplantae; Streptophyta; Magnoliopsida; Poales; Poaceae. The record is from RNAcentral.
GCUCCAAUUUAUAGUUUAAAUUAUUUUUGAUAGAAGACAUAACUAAAAAAUAUAGUUGAAUGAGAGAGUUUUGAAAAUAAAAAUAGAAAAGUUAAAAAUAUAAGAAUGAUAAUGUGGCAAUUAAGGAAGGCUAAAUUAUUAAACUUUGAUAUCUUAAUGAAAAGAGAUGACACUGAUAGAGAUAUUAAUAUGUAACUAGGAUAUAGAAGGGAAUUGUACGAGAGCAUGUGAGUUGUACUGCUUGGGGAUAAAUAUAUACGCCC